RNAcentral lists this ribosomal RNA (253 nucleotides) under uncultured bacterium. RNAcentral's name for it is "partial 16S ribosomal RNA". It matches the Rfam family "Bacterial small subunit ribosomal RNA", at positions 524 to 776 of the family's 1533-position model. The record is from RNAcentral.
UACGGAGGGUGCAAGCGUUAAUCGGAAUUACUGGGCGUAAAGGGUGCGUAGGCGGUUGUUUAAGUCUGUUGUGAAAUCCCCGGGCUCAACCUGGGAAUGGCAAUGGAUACUGGGCAGCUAGAGUGUGUCAGAGGAUGGUGGAAUUCCCGGUGUAGCGGUGAAAUGCGUAGAGAUCGGGAGGAACAUCAGUGGCGAAGGCGGCCAUCUGGGACAACACUGACGCUGAAGCACGAAAGCGUGGGGAGCGAACGGG